Long non-coding RNA from Ornithorhynchus anatinus (platypus), 824 nucleotides. RefSeq lists it as uncharacterized. The transcript has 2 exons. NCBI's taxonomy places the organism in Eukaryota, Metazoa, Chordata, Mammalia, Monotremata, Ornithorhynchidae. The record is from RefSeq and is a predicted model, not a curated record.
AUUCUUUGAUUGAACCAAGAAACCAAGAAGCUGCCUCCAACCCAGCCCCAGGGCUGGUAGAAGAAAUCAGCCGGUAUCAGAGGCCCCCUCCACCCCUGAAAGCUGGUUCACCUUGCCUGGGUUCCAAAGCUCCCCUAGGCAAGUGACAUCAGCUGGGGCAAGCUCUCGUAGACCAGGACCUGAGCCCAGAAAAAGGUGCAGCAGAGAGAAGGGCAAAAACCCCACCUGCAAGCCCACACCCAGAGAUACCCAGGAAGCCAACCAGUCUCCAGCCCAGAAAGUACAGUUCUUCAGAUACUUAAAAAGAGGAAAAGCUUUUAAGAGACAGAGAUACCCAGGAAACCAACCAGCCUCCAGCCCAGAAAGUACAGUUCUUCAGAUACUUAAGAGGAAAAAAGGAAAAGCUUUUAAGAGACAGAGAGGCACCGAGGAAGCCAACCAGCCUCCUGCCCAGAAAGUACGGUUCUUCAGUUACUUAAGAGGAAAAAAGGAAAAGCCUUUAAGAAACAGAGACCGAGGAAGCCAACCAGCCUCCAGCCCAGAAAGUACAGUCCUUCAGAUACUUAAGAGGAAAUAAGGAAAAGCUUUUAAGAGACAGAGAUACCCAGGAAGCCAACCAGCCUCCAGAACAGAAACUACAGUCCUUCAGAUACUUAAGAGGAAAUAAGAAAAAGCGUUUAAGAGACAGAGAUACCCAGGAAGCCAACCAGCCUCCAGCCCAGAAAGUACAGUUCUGCAGAUACUUAAGAGGAAAAAAGGAAAAGCUUUUAAGAGAGAAAACAUCCUGUAACAUUUACCUGUUAAAAAUUCUAUCUUAUGUCCCA